Long non-coding RNA from Homo sapiens (human), 4236 nucleotides. RefSeq lists it as uncharacterized. The transcript is spliced from 3 exons. Lineage: Eukaryota; Metazoa; Chordata; Mammalia; Primates; Hominidae. The record is from RefSeq and is a predicted model, not a curated record.
AGUUACAGCAUCUACAGACAGAGAGUCCAGAGCCCCAUGAAGAAAGACUCUACCACAGUGUGUACGGUAAUUCUCCCUCCGACCUUCCUUAAAGGGACCUCCAGAAAUUACUCAGGGUCGUACUUCAAAGUCAUACUUCUUACCCUUCUCUAAUUUGAAGAAAGCUUGGGCUAAAGGUUGCACAUCUUCCACUGGCAACUUAUAAACCAUCAGAGAGGAGUACCUGAGAGAAAAGGAGAGGUUUUCCUUUUGAAUGACUAUCACUCAACAUAACUGACAAGUAACAGUGAACAUUUGGUACCAUUUCCAAAACAGCAACCAUGUUUACCUUUCCUGCCGAGCAGCCUGGGGGAAAAGCCUCAGGAUCUCUGCAUGGAGGGGCUCCACUUGUGCCAGGUUCUUCACCUUCAUCUCCAGCAGGUAAUCUUUGCCAAAUUUGCUUUUCAGGUGUUGGAUGGAACCGAUACAUCUGGAGGAUGAGGUCAUAUGAGAAAGGAGAAAAAAAAAACCAUUCAGUAUGUUGUUUGAGAAACUUGAUUUGCUGCUAGCAUUGUCUCAAGGUCCCUAUUGUUAGACCUGGGCACAGUCAUUUCAGCUGUUUUCAGUGAUCUCUCCCUGCCACAGACAAAAAUUUCCAGCAAUGCACCUUGGGCUCAAGUGUGGGUCCAGGACAGGCACUCACCUCAACCUCCCAGAUACCAUGAUGGCCACUCGGUCACACACGGCCUCAGCCUCUGCCAUGUAGUGGGUGGUUAGGAGGGCACCCCUUUCCGUGUUUCUAAAGGUGGCCCGGAUGGCCUGCCUAUAAUGUCAAGAGAUUAUUUGCAAUUUAGGAAAUCCUCUAAUUAAUCAGAAAGAGAUAGAGAAAAGAAUUUUUAACUGGCAUGCGUGUGAAUAAUUAGCAAAAAGAGAUUAAGUAAAAGAGGGUUCUUAAUAGGGCAGGUAGGAUGAGGAAGGACAAGCUAGGUGAGAGCUGUUAAACUGGAAUCAUGCAUUGGAAGAGGGGCGUUUACAGAACACAACAUUCAUUAUAGGGUUGUGUUCAAAGAGAAGUGCUAAGCAAGAGAGGCUUGUUUGUGAGAAGUCUGUGUGAAGGGGAACAGAAUGACAUAAAAUUUAACAACAGCGUCUCACAACCUAGUGAGAAGAAAAUAAAAUGUACAGUAAACACGUACAAUGACAACCAUGUUUACACCUUAAUGAGAACUACUGUUCUCAUGCUAAGUAUGGAACACUACGUGAUUGUGAUCUAGAAAUGCACCUAAAAGAUCAGCUGAGCGCUUAUGAAACUCAAGAGUGAGACCUAUGGGCCCUAACAAUGGUAAUUCUUUCUUCAAUAAGAAAUGGUUGUAAAAUAUCAUCAGGGAAAGAUCUUUUUUUUUUGCAAAGUAUUGGUUUUACAAGUGACAUUGAUAGUUUUUUUGUUCUCCACAAAAGAGUUUAAGGGACAAUUUUUACAGAAGAAAAAUGGUUCACAGGCUCCAUGCAAGUCAUCCGUGCUGUCCCUGACCGUGGUAAUGUUCCUCACCACAUUUGCUGCUGCCCCUCGGGGUCCAUCCCGGUCGACGGCUCAUCCAGAAGCACCACUGACGGGUUCCCCAGUAUGCUCAGGACAAAGCACAGCUGCAACGGGAGGAACAGCCCAUCUGGUUCCCAUCUAUGGCACUUGCAGAGCAACACCAAGCCCUGCCCGUACCUUUCUCUUUAUUCCCUCUGACAAGGUCUUCACGGGAGACUUCAGCUGGUCCUGCAGCUUGAGCGCAUCCACUAACCUGAAGGAAACAGGAGAGUCGUACAGUCUUCUUGACAAGAGGAAAUAGAUAAGAGGAUAACCCAAGCAAGGGUGGAGAAGCAGAACUCAAAAAUGCAGUUCUGGAAAUACAUGUGGUCGGGGGGCAGGGAAGGAGGGGUGAUAUUACUGGCUGACUUGCUCCCCUACAAAAGAUAAUAUUGCUUUUUGAAGAAAUAGAAGGACAUGACAUGAUAUCCAAAUAGUUGUUCUAUGACAGUCCAAAUUUUAGUAUUUUCUAUACAUUUUAGCAAUGAAUAAUUACUUUUUAAAUUUUAAAUUUUAUUAUUAUUAUUUUUUUGAGACAAGGUCUGACUCUAUCCCCGAGGCUGGAGUGCAGUGGUGUAAUCUUGGCUCACUGCAGCCUCUGCCUCCUGGCUCAAGCCAUCCUCCCACCUCAGUUUCCCAAGUAGCUGGGACCACAGGUGCGCACCACCAUGCCCGGCUAAUUUUUGUAUUUUUGUAUUUUUCUUUUUAAUUUAGAGAUGAGGUUUCACCAAGUUGCCUAGGCUGGUCUGAAACUCACGAGCUCAAGCAGUCCACCUGCCUCAGCCUCCCAAAGUGCUGGGGUUAGAGGCAUGAGCCACUGCGCCCAGCCUUUUUAAAUUUUCUUAUUUAAUAUGAGAAAGAAACUUAAUACUUUGAUAUCCAGGAAAGGAGUUUCUAGUUGUAAAUCUACCCAGUGUGACCUGGGUCAGCAUUUAGAGUCUCCCAUCCUGAAUUUCCUGUGAGGGUCAUCACUCUCAACCUCCUCCACCCCUCCCUUGGGUAUAGAACAGAUGUGGCUCCUCUGUGUACCGUGUGAUGGCAACCUCAGCAUCCCCUUUCCUCAGCCCUUUCACGGCGGCGUACACCUCCAGGUGCUGCCUCACUGUCAGGUUGGGCCACAGCGCGUUCUCCUGAGGGCAGUACCCCAGGAACUCCAGGGCAUCCCCUCCACCGCUCCCUUUCAGUAGCACCUGCAGAUGAAAGUUCCCUCUCAGAACCUACCUUCUGCACUGCUUCUUUGAGUAUUUCCAUGACAUCAUUCUCUUCACGAACCUAGAAAAACUAGAGAAACUCUAAACCUCAUUGGGUUUAAUAAUCUGUAAUCAUUUUGCAUUGGAGAAAGGUUGUCAGAGAGCAAAUACAGGAAAAUAAGUGUGUCCACAGCCAACAAUCCAAUCUCAGCUGAAAAAUCCAAUAUCCCAUAAAUGUGGUGCCUGUCCAUCCUGGCCAACAGUUUAUAUCCAUUUUUUUUAAAUCACUGUCAAAAUGAAGCAUAUUGAUUGAAUUACUAUUUAACUUCGCUCAUGGAUCAACAUCUUUUGAGUACCUCCUAUGUAACAAGUGCUGUGUUGCCUGUGGGUACAGCGGAGGGUGGAAUAACUAGUGCUUCGUUAUCUGGAGUUUUCAUUCUACUGAAUGAAUCAGGCAAUAAACAAGUAGAGAAAUGAACAUGCAGAAUAAAGACAGAUCAAAAGUGGUGCUGUUAUGGAAAUUCAGGAGGCUGGGGUAAGAAUAACUGGGGAAGUGGCAGUAGGUAGGGUAAUUAGAAAGAGCCUGUCUUCUGAGGGCCAUUUCAACAAAGAGGAGAAGAUGCUAGUCAUGGAAAAAAAGGCAAGAGCAAGGAAUCUGGGGCAGAGCAAGAGCGAGACCAAAGCCCUGUGUGGGGAUGAAGCUUGAUGUGGAAGCUUGACGGGGAGGACAAAUAUGUGGCAAGAGGGACAGGGAAGCCAGUUCCUGCAGCUGCUUGCAAGACAAGCAGGGAUGUGUCCUUCCAGCCAUAGAGCAGCAAGCGUUCACUGAAAGUAUUUAAUCAGGAGAAUGCAUGGAUUAAAAAAACUCACGCUGGCUGAUCCAAUUAAGCUUAUUUUGUGACACCCAAAUGGCUGGCUUUCUACUUCAGGUCAGACUUACCUUUUACAAGAUUUCAUUCCAAUGUAUUAAUGAGCAGUUAUCUCCUUUCCUCCCAUGCUUAAUGAGAAAUAAAAUACUGACUUUGGGCCCAGGUGGUGACUGAGUUGGAGGGUGUCCAUGAUUGAAGUUAAGGACUAAAUUAGAGUUGGCCAAGCCACCAGCAGAGAGGUACCUUCAUGAACAUCUGCUCUCACUGUGGCUACAGAGGGAUUGUGAAUAUCGGUUUUCUCUUCUUUCAUUAGUGGAGUAUUUGUCAAUAGCAUUCCAAGCUGUCUUUUCCUUUCUUGGCUUGACUACUAGCCCCUUUCCCACGGUACAGUUUCACAGGCAUCUGCCUUAUAUUCUGUUCUGUACUUCCCUUGGACAUUCUUUGUAAAAGAGUUCUUAAGGUUUUCUAUCUUCUGCCAUAGAAUUUAGGAGAAAAUGUUUUAUCUCUACCCCAUGAUGUCUCUCUUAGAUAAACCUGAGCUCUUUUUCUGUUUGCCUAGCCACCUUAUACAACUAAAUUAGAAGUACAAUUAAAGUCAAUUUCACCCCCUUGUAUCUAA